Long non-coding RNA from Lagopus leucura (white-tailed ptarmigan), 2639 nucleotides. RefSeq lists it as uncharacterized. The record is from RefSeq and is a predicted model, not a curated record. Lineage: Eukaryota; Metazoa; Chordata; Aves; Galliformes; Phasianidae. The transcript is spliced from 14 exons.
ACUCCUUAACAACUUAAAGCUUUAUCCCUCUGAGUACCAGAAAAGUGAUUUGAGUAGUUAUUGAGCAGGGAGAAUGAACUGCUUGCUCCGGGCAGGGAGGAAGCUUAUGGAAAUGAUAUUAGACCUUCAGCAAAGUGCACAGCUGCAUCAUACAGAAGCCGAGACUCAAAUUGACAGGCAAAUAAGCCAGAUCACGGAAGGGGCCUCUGUGUGGCAGCUCUGAGCUCCCAAGUGUUGGACAACUAGGCAAAAAGUGCACUGGAACAGGGCAGAAAAUAUCACACUAACUUCAGGCAACUGUUGCAUUUUCAUGGCCUGGAAAGUAACAUUUUCUGUAGAUGUCAACUUCUGUCUGGUGUGAUGCUCCAUUCUUCUGGUGAUGUCACAUGCAGCAUUGAGUAAUAUUGGUAAAAUGGAAGAGGUCUCUUAGAAUAAGGUGUCCACCUGCAGUUCAGUUUUGCAGCUGGAUCAUUUGUAUCACUUCACUAACUGCUGAGCAAGAGAAGCAAAUCUUGGGAGCAUGAUCAUUGUGAUACCCUCAUGAUUUCUUUUUCAAUAAUUCUCUUCAGGGCUGUGAUUGUAACUGAUCAGUGAAAGAAAAAAUUUCAAAAGAAAAAGGAAACUGAAGAAGUUAAUUGUACCAGAGCAGAAUCCAGCGAAGUGAGAAUGAAAAUGAAAUGAACCAUGAGAAACUCCUACCUGUCUUGUUUGGAGCUACAGCAAAAGCUGUGAAUACACAGUACUGCCUCUGCAUCACUGCUUGAACUGGGAUAGCUCUGGUGCCUCCUCUCUGCCCAUAGUACUCACUGCUGCCCCUUGCCAUAGAGAUGAAGAAGUUGUGCCUGAGUUACAACAGGUGGGUCGACUGGAAUCCUAUGAGAGUAUGAGCAAGACAUAAUGGAUUUCAUUUCCAGUAAGGAUCCACAAAGUCAAAACAUUAGUGAACUUUGUGUGUGUCUGCAAGGGGUAUAAAAUGGAAAGGCAAGGAAAGCAAUUUAUUAAAGCCAAGCUGAACCAAGCAUAGAUGCCUUGUCAUCCAUUCCAAAAUGGGGAGUGUUGCCCUUCCACUCAUGCAAAAUGUCAGGUCAAUCUUUCUGCAACUUUCAUUUGCUCUGCUUGUCAUCAUUUCCUUGGCCUCAGGAAAGACUGCCUGACUUGUUUGUGUAAACCUGAUGACAGAACUUGGACAAACAGGAAGAUAUCUGGAAAGUAACAAGUUACUAUUAAUGUGGAAGUUUCUAAAAGAGGAAAGAUUCUUCUGAAAGAAGAAGGACUGCCGAUUGUCAGGGCUCCAUGCUUUGAGGGUGCUGAUUCAUAUUUAAGAGAAACUCCACUGGAGAUGGCAACACAGAUUAUAUGAUCAUAAAAUCAGUAAUGCCUAAGCACAGAGGAAGAGGCUUAUUCACACAAGACUCACUGAUUUAAAGAGGAGCCAAAAAAAAACUUGUGAGAAGAAUUAGUUCUCUCUAGCCAUAUUUGCAGUGGGGGGACUUCAGCUCAGGGAAGGCUGUACUGCCUAGCUGCUCCUGGAGGUCCAUGGAAAAGGGAUAUGGCCACCACUUCCCAGGAGCUUGGCUGAGGCUGCCACCACACUCAGACUAAGCCACUGGGGUCACAGGAGUGGGAUGCUAGAAGACAUUUUGUGACUUCCACAGGAUCUGAAGUUUCAGCCACUGGAAUUUCCUUCCAAGGCCUUUGGUUGACCAAUGGGAGACUUAGAAGGCAUGAAAAGAACUGACCAGUUGUCUAACCUAAUAACUUCUCAGAAGAAAAUGCUCCAGUACUAGUUUUGGACUCCAAGGAAACUAAGAAAUGAAGUUGUAGCUUGGAUUCAGUCAUUCUUUAUGGCAUUUGGGCAUGUAAAACCCUGAUGAACCAUAAGCAAAAUGAAAGAAAGGACAAUUGUAAACAAGGUCUUUCAGCGCGAAUUUUAAAUCCAGGAUGACAAAUGGAGGUAUAUCAAUGCAACAACUACAGCAACUUCAAUCAUUUUCCUAUAUGUAGUUACUCAAAAUUCAAGUUGACAGGUAUGCCUCACCUAAAUUCUGAUAUGUGUCAUCUCCUGAUUUACAAAUGCUUGGUUUUGCGGAACAAAUAAAAUUCUUACCCUGUUACUUAAUGGUGCUGAAGAUAUUUCCUCUCUUAUCUUUUGUUAUCUUCUUUUUCUGUUGCUACUCAUAUCUGUCACCAGUCAUAUAUUUAAAUGCUUCCAUAGAUAACCUGUUCUAUGACUUUCUCAAACUUCUAUUUUAAUUCACAAUGUUUUUUCCCUUUCUUUCUGUAUCAUCAGUGUACAAUCUCCAGAGUACCAAGCAACUCACAGAGCAGCUUGAAAAGCUGCAUCACAGUGAACUCAAUGUCUGAGAGUCAGUAUUCUUUGCAAAUGCUAAUGGCUUUGAGCAAAUCAGUUUAUUUUUCAGUGUUUCCCUGUUCCCACCAUUUCUAGUAAUGCAGAUAGAGCUAUUCUCUUUUCUGAGCAAAAUGUAAUCUGGCAAAUUGGGUUGGUAGCAGGAAAAGGGGAGAGCUUUCAUCAUCAGGAUAAAAUGGACCUAAAGGUUUUAUAAAUUAAAGGCCAAUUAUUCCCCGGGGUGCAUGGUGGGCUUUCCACAAGCAAUCAGUCUUGUGAAUCUGAAGACAGA